Molecule: small RNA, 2177 nt
Filed under: Pongo abelii (Sumatran orangutan)
Lineage: Eukaryota; Metazoa; Chordata; Mammalia; Primates; Hominidae
Description: retained intron
Source: RNAcentral
GCACAGCCUGUCAUUGAGAGUUGCCAAACAGAAGUGUUCCCAUUCCUUACUCCUAAAUGUGGACUUGAGGAGGGUCUUUGAAAGUCAGCUAGACCAAUCUCUAGUUGAACCUCAAGGAGAGUGAGGUACAGAGCAGAGACUGCUGGCUUCCAGGUCCAGCUGGCUCCCACUUGGCCUGGCCAGAGAAUUGGUCUGAUGGUGCCCACACCUUCACCAGAGGCCCUUUGGUGACCCCAUGCAUGUUUCCUUUGCAGGACAAGAUUAGAUGCACCCCGGUUGGAAACAAAGUCCCUGAGCAGCUCCGUGUUACCACCCAGCUAUGCUUCAGAUCGCCUGUCAGGAAACAGCAGGGACCCUGCUCUGAAACCCAAGCGGUCCCACCGCAAGGCAGACCCUGAUGCUGCCCACAGGCCACGGAUCCUGGAGAUGGACAAGGAAGAGAACCGGCGCUCGGUGCUGCUGCCCACACACCGGCGGAGGGGUAGCUUCAGCUCUGAGAACUACUGGCGCAAGUCCUACGAGUCCUCAGAGGACUGCUCUGAGGCAGCAGGCAGCCCUGCCCGAAAGGUGAAGAUGCGGCGGCACUGAGUCUACCCGCCGCCCUCCUGGGAACUCUGGCUCAUCCUUACGUAGUUGCCCCUCCUUUUGUUUUGAGGGUUUUGUUUUUGUUUAUUGGGGUUUUUUUUUUUGUUUUUGUUUGUUUGUUUGUUUUUUGUUUUUUUUUUUGAUUCUAUAUAUUUUUCCUUGGUUUGUUGCCUGUUAAGGCUGAAGAAUAGAAUUGGCCAGGACCUAGGUUCUCAUAUUCUUGGAAUUCCUCCUGGAUAGAAAGGCUGUUAGCAUCAAUAGGGGACAGAGGCUGAUGCUGGAGUGGCCAGUAGAGGUGGUGGAGCAGAGCAGCCAUCUUUUAAGUGGGGCUGUAUCAGGCUGGGUUUAUUUAAAAGCAACAAAAUGUUUUGGUUAAGAAAAUUAUUUUGCUUUCAGUGUAAAUCUUCGCAGUGUUCUAAACAAAGUUCAGUCUUCUGCUCGCCCCUUUCCUCCACUGAUGUCUGCACUUGGUUGAGGUCUCCUGGAGCCUCACAGGCUCUGCAUGGGGGCUGCUGUUCUCCACUUCUCACCUGCCAUCCACGCCCUGCAAGCUCAUGCAAACACCCUUUCUUCCUCCUGCGGCAGAGUUGUUCAGGUUGCCUGGGCAGGGGCUUAAACAGUGCCAGCCCCUGCCAUCCCAAAGCUAUUGUUAAGCCCCCCAGGCGUCCUCCACCCACGCCCACUAGCCUGCCCUGUCCACAGUUCCUUGGGCUGCUGAGGGGCUAGUGCAGUGGUCCUGACCUCUCUUCUCAAGAGCACACUUCUUUGCUGGUUGCUCCUUUUGAGCAUAUGCGUGUGAUUAUUUGAACAGUUAGACUUGCCACGUUGGGUCAGUUUUAGAAAUUGUUUCUAGCUAGAGGGACUGGUGUCCUUCCAAGUCUAGCAUUUGGGGUAUGGAAAAUUGUUGUGGUGUGUGGUAGGGUUUUUGUUUUCUUUUUUGAGUUUUUUUUCCCCCUUUAGUCUCCUGGCUUUUUCCUUUCCCUUCCCUUCUCCAUUGGCCAGCUUGGGCCUCAUCCUCAUGUCAUCCUUCUAGGAAGGCGCCUGCCCCCUCUUGUCUGCUGGCAGCAUGCAUCCAAGGCCAGAGCUCAGGCCUGCAGACUGGGCUGGUGCCUCCUCCGCUUCAGGGUAUGGGAGUUGGUGAAGGGGCUUUCAAAAAAUAAUAAUAAAGAAAAAAAAGGUAAAGUCUUUGGUAGCUUCUAUCCACUCAGAUCCUGGAAGGCAGCAAGGUUUUGUGGAUCUAGAUUCAUUAGGAAUGUCUUCUUGUCAGCCAGGCCAGGACCCGGGCUUGCCAAAAGCAGAGGCCCUCCCAGCAACCAGGAUACCACCACUUUGGGGGCUUUGUGUACAGAGGUCCGGGUCUGAGACCUCAUAGGCUGCAGAAAUCUGGGGCAGCCACCAUCAAGAAGCCCCUCUCAGGGGCCAGAACUCCUUUGCCAGCGUGGAUUUCUCAAGUCGGGACUGCAUAAUUAAAGCAGUUGCAGUUUUAUUUUUUUUACAGCUUUUUUCCCAAAAAUGAUUUGUAGUUGUGUGUGCAGCACUUUGCCCUGAUAUGUGUGCUCUACAAUAAAAACCAAAUCUAAUAUAUUUUGAAA